CAGCAAUGGGCAACCGGCGAACGGGUGCGUAACACGUGAGCAACCUGCCCACUUGUGGGGGAUAGCCGGCCCAACGGCCGGGUAAUACCGCAUACGUUCUCUGAGGGGCAUCCUUCGGAGAGGAAAGCUUUCGGGCGCAGGCGGAGGGGCUCGCGGCCUAUCAGCUAGUUGGUGGGGUCAUGGCCUACCAAGGCGACGACGGGUAGCUGGUCUGAGAGGAUGGCCAGCCACAUUGGGACUGAGAGACGGCCCAGACUCCUACGGGAGGCAGCAGUGGGGAAUCUUGCGCAAUGGCCGAAAGGCUGACGCAGCGACGCCGCGUGUGGGAGGACGCCCUUCGGGGUGUAAACCACUGUUGCCCGGGACGAAAUUCCGUUUUCGAACGGAUUGACGGUACCGGGUGAGGAAGCACCGGCUAACUCCGUGCCAGCAGCCGCGGUAAUACGGAGGGUGCGAGCGUUGUCCGGAAUCACUGGGCGUAAAGGGCGCGUAGGCGGCUCGGUAAGCGUGUGGUGAAAGCUCGGGGCUCAACCCCGAGUCGGCCAUGCGAACUGCGGAGCUCGAGCCCACUAGAGGCAGGCGGAAUUCCGGGUGUAGCGGUGGAAUGCGUAGAGAUCCGGAAGAACACCGGUGGCGAAGGCGGCCUGCUGGGGUGGAGCUGACGCUGAGGCGCGACAGCGUGGGGAGCAAACAGGAUUAGAUACCCUGGUAGUCCACGCCGUAAACGAUGGGCACUAGGUGCUCGGGGGAGCGACCCUCCGGGUGCCGGCGCUAACGCAUUAAGUGCCCCGCCUGGGGAGUACGGCCGCAAGGCUGAAACUCAAAGGAAUUGACGGGGGCCCGCACAAGCGGUGGAGCAUGUGGUUUAAUUCGACGCAACGCGAAAACCUUACCUGGGU
Molecule: ribosomal RNA, 899 nt
Filed under: uncultured Gemmatimonadota bacterium
Lineage: Bacteria; Pseudomonadati; Gemmatimonadota
Description: bacterial SSU rRNA
Rfam family: Bacterial small subunit ribosomal RNA
Source: RNAcentral